AGUUCGAUUAUGGCUCAGAUUGAACGCUGGCGGGAUGCUUUACACAUGUGCAAGUCGAACGGCAGCACGGACUUCGGUCUGGUGGCGAGUGGCGAACGGGUGAGUAAUGUAUCGGAACGUGCCUAGUAGCGGGGGAUAACUACGCGAAAGGUAGCUAAUACCGCAUACGCCCUUCGGGGAAAGCGGGGACCUUUCGGGCCUCGCACUAUUAGAGCGGCCGAUAUCGGAUUAGCUAGUUGGUGGGGUAACGGCUCACCAAGGCGACGAUCCGUAGCUGGUUUGAGAGGACGACCAGCCACACUGGGACUGAGACACGGCCCAGACUCCUACGGAGGCAGCAGUGGGAAUUUUGACAAUGGGGAAACCUGAUCCAGCCAUCCCGCGUGUGCGAUGAAGGCCUUCGGGUUGUAAAGCACUUUUGGCAGGAAAGAAACGGCACGGGAUAAUACCCCGUGCAACUGACGGUACCUGCAGAAUAAGCACCGGCUAACUACGCCAGCAGCCGCGUAAUACGUAGGGUGCAAGCGUUAAUCGGAAUUAUCAGCGUAAAGCGUGCGCAGGUAGUUCGGAAAGAAAAAAGAUGUGAAAUCCCAGAGCUUAAUCUUUGGAACUGCAUUUUUAACUACCGAGCUAGGGUGUGUCAGGAGGGAGGUGGAAUUCCGCGUGUAGCAGUGAAAUGCGUAGAUAUGCGGAGGAACACCGAUGGCGAAGGCAGCCUCCUGGGAUAACACUGACGCUCAUGCACGAAAGCGUGGGGAGCAAACAGAUUGGAGCCCUGGUAGUCCACGCCCUAAACGAUGUCAACUAGCUGUUGGGGCCUUCGCCUUGGUAGCGCAGCUAACGCGAAGUUGACCGCCCGGGGAGUACGGUCGCAAGAUUAAAACUCAAAGGGAAUUGACGGGGACCCGCACAAGCGGUGGAUGAUGUGGAUUAAUUCGAUGCAACGCGAAAACCUUACCUACCCUUGACAUGUCUGGAAUCCCGAAGAGAUUUGGGAGUGCUCGCAAGAGAACCGGAACACAGGUGCUGCAUGGCUGUCGUCAGCUCGUGUCGUGAGAUGUUGGGUUAAGUCCCGCAACGAGCGCAACCCUUGUCAUUAGUUGCUACGAAAGGGCACUUCAUCGACUGCUGGUGACAAACUGGAGGAAGGUGGGGAUGACGUCAAGUCCUCAUGGCCCUUAUGGGUAGGGCUUCACACGUCAUACAAUGGUCGGGACAGAGGGUCGCCAACCCGCGAGGGGGAGCCAAUCCCAGAAACCCGAUCGUAGUCCGGAUCGCAGUCUGCAACUCGACUGCGUGAAGUCGGAAUCGCUAGUAAUCGCGGAUCAGCAUGUCGCGGUGAAUACGUUCCCGGGUCUUGUACACACCGCCCGUCACACCAUGGGAGUGGGUUUUACCAGAAGUAGUUAGCCUAACCGUAAGGAGAGGGCGAUUACCACGGUAGGAUUCAUGACUGGGGUGAAGUCGUAACAAGGUAG
This 1478-nucleotide ribosomal RNA is filed under the name uncultured Bordetella sp. RNAcentral describes it as "partial 16S-23S ribosomal RNA intergenic spacer". It matches the Rfam family "Bacterial small subunit ribosomal RNA". The record is from RNAcentral. Lineage: Bacteria; Pseudomonadati; Pseudomonadota; Betaproteobacteria; Burkholderiales; Alcaligenaceae.